UGCUGACAGACAGCUGGGAGCUGAGAGGCGUCUGACAGGGACGAGCGAGGCAGAGAUGACAGGGUGGUGGGCGGUCCUGUCACUCUUAGCGGGACUGCUGAGCAGAGCCUCUGCUCCUUCACCUGGAGAGGUGAGCUGCUGCCACAGCAUGGCUACUGACAGAUGGAUUGUGUGGUUCGACACCCUGGAACCAAACCCAGGCCGCCAAAGUGGCCUGUCCCAAACUACAGGAAUGAGUGAGGCCUGAAAGAGACACCAGUUUUGAGAAUCCAGAGGCAGAGUCUGGGAUGCUGCCUUCUCCACCGGCCUUUGCUUGUGCCUCGCUACAGCCCACAAUCUGGAACGUGUCUGGAACAAUGAAUUUUAACUGAGAAAAUAUGAAUGUAUGCUAGCCUGGGAAACAGAACCAACACUGCUCUGUCUCUCGGGCUCUCUGUGCAUUAUAAGGGGACAUACAAAUAUGAGGAAUUUUUGCUGUUCAUAUGACCAACACAGUCUCCUCAUCUGUAAAGUGAAAUACUAGCCGCGAUGGUCUCCUGGGUUCCUUCCAAACAUGACUUUCCAAGAGCCUACGGUGUCACGUGAUGCAGAGCGGAGAAUUCCUGAAAAAUGCCUGGUCUUCCCAAGUCAGUCCUUUUCAGACAGGACUGUACGUGCCAAAAUGUGCAGAGGUAUCCUAAAUUUUCACAAAGCAAGGUCUGCCUAUCCGUUCAUUAUUCUGUAUUCUUGAGCGUCUAGUCCAUUACUCUACCUGUGGGAAGAACUUGGUGACUCAUGACUAAGCUCCCUUCAAGCCAUGGUGAUGUGUGACAAGAGCGCUUGAUGGACACAGGUAGUGGGUCUGCUGUCUCAGAGGGCGUAGCAGGAGGCAAGUCUAUUGUCUCGAGCUGGGCGGUCACAGCUGCAGGGUGAGUCCCUGGACACCAGACUGGAAAGAGCCCUGGAUGUGACGUCCGGGGAUCUGGAUGUGAGUUCCAAGCCUGUCCCAGUCAGCUGUGUGAAUUUGGGCAAUGGACCUCACCGCUCCUAUCCUCAGUUUCAUCACCUUUACUGAGAGAAUUCUGUCUACUCAGCAUCUGUCAUGGGCUGUUGAGGAAGACGAAUCUCGAAGGACAUAGAUGCAAAAGUGCUUUGGGAACUGUCCAGCGCUCGAGAGACGGGUCAUCCUUUUACCUUCUGAUUAUCUCUGGAAUCCAUCCAUGUCGUCUCUAUCAGUGGCUCCUCAAACCAGCUUCCAGCUUCUCUCAUCUGGCCUCCUGCCCACGUCAGCCCUGCUUCCAGUCUCUUCAGUAGGCGUGCAGCCAGCGAGAUCACCUGACCCUGUACCCUGAGGACUGGAGGGAAAAGCGGGAUGGAGGGCUGAGGGGCUAAAGGUAGUUUGGAUUAAGAAAAAGGGAUAUGGGUUGGGUCCCGUGGCCAAGUGGUUGGGUUCGCACACUCCCCUUCAGCAGCCCAGGGCUCGCUGGUUCAGAUCCCAGGUGCGAACCUACACGCUGUUCAUCAAGCCAUGCUGUGGCGGCAUCCCACAUGGAAGAACUAGAAUGACUCACAACUAGGAUGUGCAACUAAGUACUGGGGCUUUGGGGAGGAAAAAAAAGAGGAGGAAGAUUGGCAACAGAUGUUAGCUCAGGGCCAAUCUUCCUCAUCAAAAAGAAAGCAUAAAAAAAGAGAAAGGGAUAAAGCUGGAGAGAAAGGUGGAAUCACCUUGGUCCAAUCGACACGUAUUUAUCGAGUGGGCUGUGCUUGGUGUUGUGAGGGGGUCAGUUACAGUGUCCUGCCCUUGUGUUACUUAGCGACUCACUCCAACGUGAAACAGAUGGAGUGCGACUGAAUGCAAAGUUGUGUGCGUCUAAUCGUAAACUACUUCUGCCUGUUGCAGAAGCCCAGAGAAGCUCAUGGCGAAGGUUGGGUUUAAGACGGGACCUUGAAGAGCAAGCUGGAUGACAACGGAGAGAAGGAUGGGCUUCUGGACAGGGGGCAUCGAGGCGGUUAAUUCUCCCAGACACACCGCUGAGAGCGCCGGAGCCCUGUGGAGCUGAGACCGGGAUGGUGCUGCCAGGCUCAUUACAGGAUCCCAGAGGGAGUCUAUCAGGACAGGGUCCCCUCUCUCCCUCAGCCUCUGCAGGAGGCUCGUGCCUCUCUGCCUCCACUCCGACCCACCCUGGCAGGCCCACCCCUCGCCCGGCCCCGAGCCCCUGGAUCCCAGCCCCCUUCUGACUCUGUGCCAGGUCUCCGGCCAUGCCCACCCUCCUCGGGCCCCCCUUCGGCUUCCCGAUCUGAGCAAGGGCCAGUGCUCUGUGCUCUCUGGCGAAGAGGGCGGGGGGGGGGGCGAGGUGGCAGAGAAGUGGAGCCUGGAGAAAUCCCAAGCCAACCACACUGCCUCCCGCCAGCAUUCGACCAAAACAGCUCACCGGGAAGCAGCGGCGGUGCUCCCCGCCCUCCCACGCUCCGAGGGUCUUCUGCCCACUCAGGUGCCGCGCCUGGACAGGGUGGGCGUUUCAGGGGCGAAGGAAUGCGCGGGUGUGUGAGGACUUACCGAGCACUUGCCCCUGGCCAGGCCUUGCUCUGGCCACUCGGAUCUGCUCGUGAGAUGGAGCCGUGGGAGUGCCCGCACCAGUCAAGCCUCCAGCCCAGGGCAGCAGGCAACAAACAUCAUACCCGUGCAGAGGAUGCGGCAUACCAGAGGGUGGCAAGCAUCACAGGGAGAAACAGAGCCGAAGUAUGUGAGAGGAAGGGAAUAAGGGCCUAUGUCCUGAGGUCCAAGAAGCAAGAGGAGCCCUCCUCGACACCCACACUGUGGUGGGGACACGGUGUCUCCUGGUGACCAGCACCUGG
Molecule: long non-coding RNA, 2835 nt
Organism: Equus caballus (horse)
Lineage: Eukaryota; Metazoa; Chordata; Mammalia; Perissodactyla; Equidae
Source: Ensembl